CGCGUAGGUGGUUACGUAAGUGAGAUGUGAAAUCCCUGGGCUUAACCUAGGAAGGUCAUCUUAUACUGCGUAGCUGGAGUGCAAUAGAGGGUAGUGGAAUUUCCGGUGUAGCGGUGAAAUGCGUAGAUAUCGGAAGGAACAUCAGUGGCGAAGGCGGCUACCUGGAUUGACACUGACACUGAGGCGCGAGAGCGUGGGGAGCAAACAGGAUUAGAUACCCUGGUAGUCCACGCUGUAAACGAUGAAAACUAGAUGUUGUGCAGCAUAGACUGUUCAGUAUCGAAGCUAACGCGAUAAGUUUUCCGCCUGGGGAGUACGGUCGCAAGAUUAAA
RNAcentral lists this ribosomal RNA (332 nucleotides) under uncultured bacterium. Its description in RNAcentral is "bacterial SSU rRNA". It matches the Rfam family "Bacterial small subunit ribosomal RNA", at positions 568 to 898 of the family's 1533-position model. The record is from RNAcentral.